UAGGGAAUCUUCCGCAAUGGGCGAAAGCCUGACGGAGCAACGCCGCGUGAGUGAUGAAGGUCUUCGGAUCGUAAAACUCUGUUAUUAGGGAAGAACAAAUGUGUAAGUAACUAUGCACGUCUUGACGGUACCUAAUCAGAAAGCCACGGCUAACUACGUGCCAGCAGCCGCGGUAAUACGUAGGUGGCAAGCGUUAUCCGGAAUUAUUGGGCGUAAAGCGCGCGUAGGCGGUUUUUUAAGUCUGAUGUGAAAGCCCACGGCUCAACCGUGGAGGGUCAGUGGAAACUGGAAAACUUGAGUGCAGAAGAGGAAAGAGGAAUUCCAGGUGUAGCGGUGAAAUGCGCAGAGAUAUGGAGGAACACCAGUGGCGAAGGCGACUUUCUGGUCUGUAACUGACGCUGAUGUGCGAAAGCGUGGGGAUCAAACGGG
This 429-nucleotide ribosomal RNA is filed under the name Actinomycetes bacterium. RNAcentral describes it as "Actinobacteria bacterium partial 16S ribosomal RNA". It matches the Rfam family "Bacterial small subunit ribosomal RNA", at positions 355 to 776 of the family's 1533-position model. The record is from RNAcentral. Lineage: Bacteria; Bacillati; Actinomycetota; Actinomycetes.